RNAcentral lists this transfer RNA (85 nucleotides) under Verrucomicrobiales bacterium. RNAcentral describes it as "tRNA-Ser". It matches the Rfam family "tRNA". From Rfam's summary of the family: Transfer RNA (tRNA) molecules are approximately 80 nucleotides in length. Their secondary structure includes four short double-helical elements and three loops (D, anti-codon, and T loops). Lineage: Bacteria; Pseudomonadati; Verrucomicrobiota; Verrucomicrobiia; Verrucomicrobiales. The record is from RNAcentral.
GGAGAGGUGGCAGAGCGGUUGAAUGCACCGGUCUUGAAAACCGGCAAACCGAAAGGUUUCGUGGGUUCGAAUCCCACCCUCUCUA